CCUACGGGGGGCAGCAGUGGGGAAUAUUGGACAAUGGGGGCAACCCUGAUCCAGCCAUGCCGCGUGUGUGAAGAAGGCCCUCGGGUUGUAAAGCACUUUCAGUGAGGAAGAACGCCUGGUGGUUAAUACCCAUCAGGAAAGACAUCACUCACAGAAGAAGCACCGGCUAACUCCGUGCCAGCAGCCGCGGUAAUACGGAGGGUGCGAGCGUUAAUCGGAAUUACUGGGCGUAAAGCGCGCGUAGGUGGCUUGAUAAGCCGGUUGUGAAAGCCCCGGGCUCAACCUGGGAACGGCAUCCGGAACUGUCUAGCUAGAGUGCAGGAGAGGAAGGUAGAAUUCCCGGUGUAGCGGUGAAAUGCGUAGAGAUCGGGAGGAAUACCAGUGGCGAAGGCGGCCUUCUGGACUGACACUGACACUGAGGUGCGAAAGCGUGGGUAGCAAACAGGAUUAGAUACCCUUGUAGUC
This 465-nucleotide ribosomal RNA is filed under the name Vreelandella stevensii. RNAcentral describes it as "partial 16S ribosomal RNA". It matches the Rfam family "Bacterial small subunit ribosomal RNA", at positions 338 to 795 of the family's 1533-position model. The record is from RNAcentral. Lineage: Bacteria; Pseudomonadati; Pseudomonadota; Gammaproteobacteria; Oceanospirillales; Halomonadaceae.